GAUGAAGAACGCAGCGAAAUGCGAUAAGUAGUGUGAAUUGCAGAAUUCAGUGAAUCAUCGAAUCUUUGAACGCACAUUGCGCCCCUUGGUAUUCCAUGGGGCAUGCCUGUUCGAGCGCCAUUUGUACCCUCAAGCUUUGCUUGGUGUUGGGUGUUUGUCCCGCGUUGCGCGUGGACUCGCCUUAAAGCGAUUGGCAGCCGGCAUAUUGGCCUUGGAGCGCAGCACAUUUUGCGCUUCUAGUCAUGAAUGUUGGCGUCCAUUAAGCCUAUACAUUUGCUCUUGACCUCGGAUCAGGUAGGGAUACCCGCUGAACUUAAGCAUAUCAAUAAGCGGAGGA
RNAcentral lists this unclassified non-coding RNA (337 nucleotides) under soil metagenome. RNAcentral describes it as "partial contains 5.8S ribosomal RNA, internal transcribed spacer 2, and large subunit ribosomal RNA". The stretch from base 1 to 120 matches the Rfam family "5.8S ribosomal RNA", at positions 35 to 154 of the family's 154-position model. The record is from RNAcentral.